GACCUACGGGACGCAGCAGUAGGGAAUCUUCCACAAUGGACGAAAGUCUGAUGGAGCAACGCCGCGUGAGUGAAGAAGGGUUUCGGCUCGUAAAGCUCUGUUGGGAGUGAAGAAAGAUAGAGGUAGUAACUGGCCUUUAUUUGACGGUAAUUACUUAGAAAGUCACGGCUAACUACGUGCCAGCAGCCGCGGUAAUACGUAGGUGGCAAGCGUUGUCCGGAUUUAUUGGGCGUAAAGCGAGUGCAGGCGGGUCCAUAAGUCUGAUGUGGAAGCCUUUGGCUCAAACGGGGAGAUGCGUCAGAAAA
Molecule: ribosomal RNA, 305 nt
Filed under: uncultured bacterium
Lineage: Bacteria
Description: bacterial SSU rRNA
Rfam family: Bacterial small subunit ribosomal RNA
Source: RNAcentral